Molecule: transfer RNA, 69 nt
Filed under: Aphyosemion cameronense (Cameroon killifish)
Lineage: Eukaryota; Metazoa; Chordata; Actinopteri; Cyprinodontiformes; Nothobranchiidae
Description: tRNA-Tyr
Rfam family: tRNA
About the family: Transfer RNA (tRNA) molecules are approximately 80 nucleotides in length. Their secondary structure includes four short double-helical elements and three loops (D, anti-codon, and T loops).
Source: RNAcentral
GGUAAGAUGGCUGAGGAUAAGCGGUGGACUGUAGAUCCACAAACAGAGGUUUAAAUCCUCUUCUUAUCA